GACGAACCGUGCGAACGUUAUUCGGAAUCAUUGGGCUUAAAGGGCGCGUAGGCGGCGGUGUAAGUUGGAAGUGAAAUCCCAUCGGCUCAACCGUGGAAUUGCUCCCAGUACUGCAUCGCUCGAGGGGGAUAGGGGUUUGCGGAACUACCGGUGGAGCGGUGAAAUGUGUUGAUAUCGGUGGGAACGCCAGUGGCGAAAGCGGCAAACUUGACGCUUCCUGACGCUGAGGCGCGAAAGCUAGGGGAGCAAACGGG
Molecule: ribosomal RNA, 254 nt
Filed under: uncultured bacterium
Lineage: Bacteria
Description: partial 16S ribosomal RNA
Rfam family: Bacterial small subunit ribosomal RNA
Source: RNAcentral